Molecule: ribosomal RNA, 497 nt
Filed under: uncultured bacterium
Lineage: Bacteria
Description: partial 16S ribosomal RNA
Rfam family: Bacterial small subunit ribosomal RNA
Source: RNAcentral
GAUGAACGCUGGCGGCAUGCCUAACACAUGCAAGUCGAGCGAACACAUCAGGAGCUUUCUCCCCUGACGUUAUCGCCGGACGGGUGCUUAACACGUGGAUAACCUACCUAUACGACUGGGAUAAUUACGGGAAACAGUAUCUAAUACCCGAUAAUUUAUCGAACUUCAUUGUUCAAUAGUUAAAGACGCUUUUGCUUUGACUAAUAGCCUAAUCCGCGCCGCAUUAGCUAGUUGGUAAGGUAGCGGCUUACCAAGGCAACGAUGGGAAGCCGACCUGAGAGGGUGAUCGGCCACCUUGGAAGUGAGACACGGUAGAGACACUGACGGGAGGACGCAGUAGGGAAUCUUACGCGAGGGGGGAAAGCCUGACAGAGCAACAUCGCGUGAGGGAUGAAGGAGUUCGGAUCGUAAAGCGCUGUUAUUAGGAAAGAACAAAAGUGUAAGUACCUAUGCACGUAUUGACGGUACCUAAAGAAAAAGCCACGGCUAACUACGUG